GACGAACGCUGGCGGCGUGCCUAAUACAUGCAAGUCGAGCGAAUCAAUGGGAGCUUGCUCCCUGAGAUUAGCGGCGGACGGGUGAGUAACACGUGGGUAACCCGCCUGUAAGACUGGGAUAACUUCGGGAAACCGGAGCUAUUACCGGAUACGUUCUUUUCUCGCAUGAGAAGAGAUGGAAAGAUGGUUUCGGCUAUCACUUACAGAUGGACCCGCGGCGCAUUAGCUAGUUGGUGAGGUAACGACUCACCAAGGCGACGAUGCGUAGCCGACCUGAGAGGGUGAUCGGCCACACUGGGACGGAGACAGGGCACAGACGCCUACGGGAGGCAGCAGUAGGGAAUCUUCCGCAAUGGACGAAAGUCUGACGGAGCAACGCCGCGUGAGCGAAGAAGGCCUUCGGGUCGUAAAGCUCUGUUGUUAGGGAAGAACAAGUACAAGAGUAACUGCUUGUACCUUGACGGUACCUAACCAGAAAGCCACGGCUAACUACGUGCCAGCAGCCGCCGUAA
This 512-nucleotide ribosomal RNA is filed under the name uncultured bacterium. RNAcentral describes it as "partial 16S ribosomal RNA". It matches the Rfam family "Bacterial small subunit ribosomal RNA", at positions 28 to 523 of the family's 1533-position model. The record is from RNAcentral.